GAUUAACGCUGGCGGCGUGCAUAACACAUGCAAGUCGAACGAUGAAACUCAUUAGAUUUCUUCGGAAUGAAAAUGAAUGGAUUAGUGGCGAACGGGUGAGUAACGCGUGAGUAACCUGCCUUACACAAGGGGAUAGCCUCUGGAAACGGAGAAUAAUACCCUAUGAAACCAGACAAUCGCAUGAUAAUCUGGUCAAAAUGUUUAGUGGUGUAAGAUGGACUUGCGUCUGAUUAGCUAGUUGGUGAGAUAAAAGCUCACCAAGGCAACGAUCAGUAGCCGGCUUGAGAGAGUGUACGGCCACAUUGGGACUGAGACACGGCCCAGACUCCUACGGGAGGCAGCAGUGGGGAAUUUUGCACAAUGGGGGAAACCCUGAUGCAGCGACGCCGCGUGAUUGAGAAGGCCUUCGGGUUGUAAAAAUCUUUUGUAUAGGAAGAAAAUGACAGUACUAUACGAAUAAGGGCCGGCUAAUUACGUG
RNAcentral lists this ribosomal RNA (478 nucleotides) under uncultured bacterium. RNAcentral describes it as "partial 16S ribosomal RNA". It matches the Rfam family "Bacterial small subunit ribosomal RNA", at positions 28 to 507 of the family's 1533-position model. The record is from RNAcentral.